ACCUUGGUCAGAAUUUGUUGAUUUGUUUCAUAGUAAUAACAAAACAGAAGUAAAGUCAACCAUUGGCCUUAGUGGACAUCAGCGUUCUCUGUCCCAGUUUAAUGUGUGGAUUACGUUUCUGUCUGUCGUUAGUUUGUCAGUGUUGGAAAACGGCGUGCAGAGGGCGGUACCCGAAGCUGCCGGAGCGACACCUCUGCCUCUGGUUCGCCACAGCGCCCCCUGCAGACCGAAGGCUAGAUGUGGCCUCCACAGAUUGGACAUACGAAGAGCGGAAGAGCAGAGCAGAAAAGUGGGCGGAGCCUUCAGCAUAAGAGGUGGGGCAGAAGAGGUAUAAACCAAUCCGACAGUGAGAAAGCUGAAAAGGGGAGUGGCCAACCAGAGUGUUUCCAUGGUGACUGGGUGUCUGCGAUGCCACUGAGAGGCCAAAGGUCGCUCACUCGCCGGUCCAUCUGCCACGCUGCGUCUGCAGGAGCCAAUCAGAGAGGCCAAAAAAAUGGACCAAUCAGAGGAGGGGAGCGCAGGUCAUCAGACAGAAUCAGGUGCUGAGGGGUCGGAGGUCGCAGACCCAGGAAGGCCGGGUCCAGGUUCAAAGCCGUAGCCAGGGCUCCCAGACCCGGAUUAUUCACCAAACAGAAUCCGGUCAGAGACUCGAUCUGUUGCCAGCGGUGCAGCUUCUCCCGAAGAGCCGCCGUCACCUCAGCCAAGGCCUGUCUGCCGAGGUGACAUAGAUAACCCCACUGUCCUGCAUGAGGCUGCAGGGGAUUGUGGGUCUGAGGUGACUCACUUGGCAGAGAGGAUCUUAUGGUCGACAUCAUCCAGUGAAGAGCUGUGAGCCACAUGGAAGGUCCCGAACAGAGAGCUGCGUUUCUUCUUGAUCUUCUCUGCCUGAAAAACAACCAUCAUCAUGAAACUCACUGUCAUUUAGUGCUGUCUUUAUCUCUGUCUAGCUCAUACUUUCUCUCA
This is a long non-coding RNA of Sphaeramia orbicularis (orbiculate cardinalfish), 963 nucleotides long. RefSeq lists it as uncharacterized. NCBI's taxonomy places the organism in Eukaryota, Metazoa, Chordata, Actinopteri, Kurtiformes, Apogonidae. The record is from RefSeq and is a predicted model, not a curated record. The transcript has 4 exons.